AAGUCGUAACAAGGUUUCCGUAGGUGAACCUGCGGAAGGAUCAUUAACAACAUAUCCUAACUAAAAAACCCUGUGAACUUUCAACCCCAAGCUCUUGAUCCGAGGAGUUCAGCAAUCUCUGGUAAAUCAUAGUGAACAGCUUUUGAUUCAGAGACCUCUGCCUACGUGAGAAAAAUGGAACAGUUACAAUCGAGCGGUAGUUUCAUAGGCAUUGUUUCCCCAAGCAGUCAGUGUCGGAAAGUGUCAUUGAUUGUGCAAGGAUAGCGCUUCACGAUUCCUGUAGACCGUACACUCGGGCAGGAGCUAUGCCAAAGGGUCCCCAUGCCCCCUUACAACCCCACAGUUUAAUGUAAAGCUCAAUGUAAUACAUUGGGUAAAAAAACCGAACAACUGUUAACAAUGGAUAUCUUGGUUCUC
This 417-nucleotide unclassified non-coding RNA is filed under the name fungal sp. Its description in RNAcentral is "partial internal transcribed spacer region". The stretch from base 1 to 46 matches the Rfam family "Eukaryotic small subunit ribosomal RNA", at positions 1786 to 1831 of the family's 1831-position model. Lineage: Eukaryota; Fungi. The record is from RNAcentral.